AAGUCGUAACAAGGUUUCCGUAGGUGAACCUGCGGAAGGAUCAUUAAAACGUAUCCAACGUUAACCAAUUGUGAACUCGUUUCCUCCCUUAGCUUUGAAAAAUUGGAGCUGUGAUCGACAUUGAGUGGGAUCUGUAACAGGAUCGGUCUUUCGCAGUCACUGACACUUUCGGGUGUCGACAAGAGUAUCUUUGCUAAGGCUUUUCUUUCUGUUUCCACCCUCCAUUCAAAGGUGGGACAGAGGGAGCACAUACUAACCAUUAUCACCCUUUUUGCUAGUUGACUUUUUUAAUGUUAGUUUUUACGAAAGUAGAGAUUACACGUUUCAUUAUUUGAACGUAAAAUACAACUCUUAGCAAUGGAUAUCUAGGUUCUC
RNAcentral lists this unclassified non-coding RNA (375 nucleotides) under fungal sp. RNAcentral's name for it is "partial internal transcribed spacer region". The stretch from base 1 to 46 matches the Rfam family "Eukaryotic small subunit ribosomal RNA", at positions 1786 to 1831 of the family's 1831-position model. The record is from RNAcentral. Lineage: Eukaryota; Fungi.